UCCCUGGUGGUCUAAUGGUUAAGGAUUUGGCACUUUCACUGUUGUGGCCCAAGUUCAAUCCUUUGUUGGGGAA
This 73-nucleotide transfer RNA is filed under the name Capra hircus (goat). It matches the Rfam family "tRNA". Rfam says of the family: Transfer RNA (tRNA) molecules are approximately 80 nucleotides in length. Their secondary structure includes four short double-helical elements and three loops (D, anti-codon, and T loops). The record is from Rfam by way of RNAcentral. Lineage: Eukaryota; Metazoa; Chordata; Mammalia; Artiodactyla; Bovidae. RNAcentral also lists the same sequence under 1 other name.